AAGGGGGGAACACUCGCGGACGCCACUGCUGCUAGAGACUUGGUUGCUUCCUGGAAUGCCGGAUGAAAAUUCGCUCCAGGUUCAAUCUUGACUUUAGUAGGUCAAACAGAGGUCCUCUUGCCCCUCUUCCGACACCAAUGUAAACUGUUGAAGUCUUUAAUAUUAUUCUGAACGCAAUAUUUCCUUUUAGGAGGAAGUACUUUGUUAUCAGUGUAUAUAUUGACGGACGUUUUAUUUUCUCAACUUGGGAUUUCGAUUCCAUUUUGAUUAACUAAAAACAACAAAAUCUAACUUAUAGCUAUAACUCUUAACGAUGGACACCUUGGCUCCCACAUCGAGGAAGAGCGCAGCGAAAUGCGAUACGUCGUGUGAAUUGCAGGGUUCAGCGAAUCACGAAAUCCUCGAACGCAUCUUGCGCCCCCAAGCUCACUUGGGGGCGUGCUUGUUUGAGCGUCGUUUAAUAGUAAUCAACAUCAAAAUCCUUUUUGAUUAAUUUCAGAUUGGAAUUUUGCACGUUGGAAUUGAUUGUUCGGUCAUAGGGCUCGCGUUCUAGGCUGAUCUUUCGAAAUAUAGCAACCGAGGUUAGCAUGGUUCUCACGAAGAAACCGCCUCAAUUCAUGUCUUAACGUUGUGAAGGUUCCUUUACGGACCCCUUUUUCGUUAGGAUAGAGGAUGUGUUCAUGUGAUUAUUCAAGGCUUUUCCUCCUGAAUCUCCUGAUAAAGGAGAGGCUGAUGUUGAUAGCAGCUGUUCUUUAGAACAAUUAUCAACAUUUAAAUAUUAAACUCGCGACCUCAAAUCAAGCAAGGCUACCCGCUGAACUUAAGCAUAUCAGUAACGGGGAAAGAAA
This 848-nucleotide ribosomal RNA is filed under the name Nannengaella mellea. RNAcentral describes it as "eukaryotic LSU rRNA". The stretch from base 303 to 456 matches the Rfam family "5.8S ribosomal RNA". Lineage: Eukaryota; Evosea; Eumycetozoa; Physariida; Physaraceae. The record is from RNAcentral.